UACGUAGGGUGCAAGCGUUGUCCGGAAUUAUUGGGCGUAAAGAGCUCGUAGGCGGUCUGUUGCGUCGGCUGUGAAAACCCGGGGCUCAACUCCGGGCCUGCAGCCGAUACGGGCAGACUAGAGUUCGGCAGGGGAGACUGGAAUUCCUGGUGUAGCGGUGAAAUGCGCAGAUAUCAGGAGGAACAUCGGUGGCGAAGGCGGCAUCCUGGACCGAUAUUGACGCUGAGGCGCGAAAGCCAGGGGAGCAAACGGG
RNAcentral lists this ribosomal RNA (253 nucleotides) under uncultured bacterium. RNAcentral describes it as "partial 16S ribosomal RNA". It matches the Rfam family "Bacterial small subunit ribosomal RNA", at positions 524 to 776 of the family's 1533-position model. The record is from RNAcentral.